AUACGGAGGGUGCAAGCGUUAUUCGGAAUCACUGGGCGUAAAGGACGCGUAGGCGGGUUUGUAAGUCAGGUGUGAAAUCCUACAGCUUAACUGUAGAACUGCACUUGAAACUACAGACCUAGAGUAUGGGAGGGGCAGAUGGAAUUAGUGGUGUAGGGGUAAAAUCCGUAGAUAUCACUAGGAAUACCGAAAGCGAAGGCGAUCUGCUGGAACAUAACUGACGCUAAGGCGUGAAAGCGUGGGGAGCAAACAGAAUUAGAAACCCCAGUAGUCC
Molecule: ribosomal RNA, 274 nt
Filed under: uncultured bacterium
Lineage: Bacteria
Description: partial 16S ribosomal RNA
Rfam family: Bacterial small subunit ribosomal RNA
Source: RNAcentral